Molecule: ribosomal RNA, 492 nt
Filed under: uncultured bacterium
Lineage: Bacteria
Description: partial 16S ribosomal RNA
Rfam family: Bacterial small subunit ribosomal RNA
Source: RNAcentral
AGUGAACGCUGGCGGUAGGCCUAACACAUGCAAGUCGAACGGCAGCACAGUAAGAGCUUGCUCUUACGGGUGGCGAGUGGCGGACGGGUGAGGAAUACAUCGGAAUCUACUUUUUCUUGGGGGAUAACGUAGGGAAACUUACGCUAAUACCUCAUACGACCUACGGGUGAAAUCAGGGGAUCUUCGGACCUUGCGCGAUUGAAUGAGCCGAUGUCGGAUUAGCUAGUUGGCGGGGUAAAGGCACACCAAGGCGACGAUCCGUAGCUGGUCUGAGAGGAUGAUCAGCCACACUGGAACUGAGACACGGUCCAGACUCCUACGGGAGGCAGCAGUGGGGAAUAUUGGACAAUGGGCGCAAGCCUGAUCCAGCCAUACCGCGUGGGUGAAGAAGGCCUUCGGGUUGUAAAGCCCUUUUGUUGGGAAAGAAAAGCAGCAGGUUAAUCCCCCGCUGUUCUGACGGUACCCAAAGAAUAAGCACCGGCUAACUUCGUG